ACCGCAGCCAGGGAUCCUUCGGGCUCCAGCGCUCUUGGCAGAGGCCGGAGAUUUUAUUACUAUUGGAGUCUCAGUGGAGAUUUUACUUGACAUCAAUUUUUAGGGAAGUGGGCCCAGAUCCAUCCCCUGCCAGUAACAACAGCUCAUGAGAACUCAGCAGUUGUGUCCAGCAGC
Corapipo altera (White-ruffed manakin) is the source of this 174-nucleotide long non-coding RNA. RefSeq lists it as uncharacterized. The record is from RefSeq and is a predicted model, not a curated record. Lineage: Eukaryota; Metazoa; Chordata; Aves; Passeriformes; Pipridae. The transcript has 3 exons.